RNAcentral lists this ribosomal RNA (495 nucleotides) under uncultured bacterium. RNAcentral's name for it is "partial 16S ribosomal RNA". It matches the Rfam family "Bacterial small subunit ribosomal RNA", at positions 28 to 507 of the family's 1533-position model. The record is from RNAcentral.
GACGAACGCUGGCGGCGUGCCUAAUACAUGCAAGUCGAACGCUGAAGGAGGAGCUUGCUUCUCUGGAUGAGUUGCGAACGGGUGAGUAACGCGUAGGUAACCUGCCUGUUAGCGGGGGAUAACUAUUGGAAACGAUAGCUAAUACCGCAUAAGAGUAGAUGUUGCAUGACAUUUGCUUAAAAGGUGCAAUUGCAUCACUACCAGAUGGACCUGCGUUGUAUUAGAUAGUUGGCGAGGUAACGGCUCAGCAAGGCAACGAUACAUAGCCGACCUGAGAGGGUGAUCGGCCGCCCUGGGAGGGUGACACGGCCCAGACGGCUACGGGAGGCAGCAGUAGGGAAACGUGGGCAAGGGACGGAAGUCUGACCGAGCAACGCCGCGGGAGUGAAGAAGGAUGUCGGAUCGUAAAGCUCGGUUGUCAGGGAAGAACGAGCGUGAGAGUGGAAAGUUCACACUGUGACGGUAUCUGACCAGAAAGCGACGGCUAACUACGUG